UACGGGAGGCAGCAGUGGGGAAUAUUGCACAAUGGGCGCAAGCCUGAUGCAGCCAUGCCGCGUGUAUGGAAAAGGCCUUCGGGUUGUAAAGUACUUUCAGUCGUGAGGAAGGUGUUAAGGUUAAUAACCUUAGCAAUUGACGUUAGCGACAGAAGAAGCACCGGCUAACUCCGUGCCAGCAGCCGCGGUAAUACGGAGGGUGCGAGCGUUAAUCGGAAUUACUGGGCGUAAAGGGCACGCAGGCGGUUAAUUAAGUUGGAUGUGAAAUCCCCGGGCUUAACCUGGGAAUGGCAUUCAAGACUGGUUAGCUAGAGUCUUGUAGAGGGGGGUAGAAUUCCAUGUGUAGCGGUGAAAUGCGUAGAGAUGUGGAGGAAUACCGGUGGCGAAGGCGGCCCCUGGACAAAGACUGACGCUCAUGUGCGAAAGCGUGGGGAGCAAACAGGGAUUAGAUACC
This 454-nucleotide ribosomal RNA is filed under the name uncultured bacterium. RNAcentral describes it as "bacterial SSU rRNA". It matches the Rfam family "Bacterial small subunit ribosomal RNA", at positions 340 to 786 of the family's 1533-position model. The record is from RNAcentral.